This 715-nucleotide long non-coding RNA is filed under the name Homo sapiens (human). Its description in RNAcentral is "novel transcript". Lineage: Eukaryota; Metazoa; Chordata; Mammalia; Primates; Hominidae. The record is from RNAcentral.
GAGUAGCUGGGACUACAGGCGCCCACCACCACGCCUGGCUAAUUUUUUGUAUUUUUAGUAGAGACGGGGGUUUCACCGUGUUAGCCAGGAUGGUCUCGAUCUCCUGACCUCGUGAUCUGCCCGCCUUGGUCUCCCAAAGUGCUGGGAUUACAGGCAUGAGCCACUGCGCCCGGCCUGCUCUCUGUUCUUAAGCUUGUAAAUAACAAAACCAGGAGAUGUGGGCUGAACGGUUUAGUGUAGUGAUCAACAGCAGCAUAAUCGCGGUGCCCAAGUACUGCUAAGUGCUAAGCAUGGAGUGAAUCCUCACAACCACGGGCAGCGCACAGAUGAGCAAACAGGAUCAGGACAAUGAAGUGUUUAUAGCCAAGUAAUUCCAACCUCUUAGCCAAGACCAGAGCUAAAAGGGCACCUUCAUCACACCGCCGACGUUGACCCCAGGCUGACAAAUGUGACCUGCUUCCGUUGGUCUUUGAAUCCUCAUUUCUAUUUGCUUUUCAACUUUAUUGUAUAUAUCUUUUAUGUAACUUACUUCAAGUUAUUUUGUAGGGAAAUGUGUAAAAAACCCCUGCUUUUUGGGAUCAUGAAAAUAUUUCAAAGUUAGAUUAUGGUGAUGGUUGCCCAACUUUGUAAAUAUACUAAAGAUCGUUCAAUGGUACGCUUUAAACGGAUGAACUUAAUGGUAUAUAAAUUAUCUCAAUAAAACGAUUUGAAAAAA